AAAAGCUUUCUCGCGGGUUAAAAAGACCCAUAUCUUCCGGGUCAAUAAACUUGGGUUAUACCAAGUUCACUUUCCCUUUCAUGUUCAAACCAAAAGAGAGAGACAGAGAACAUGAGACGAUCGAGAAGAAGAAAACACCCCCUUUCCGUUUGCUUCGAUCGAGAGACACAAGGAGUUCAAAUCUCCAGCGUUUAUUUUGGAAAGCCACGACGAUAACCACGACGAACAAGGACGACGAAGACCUUCGAUUACCCAUGACGCACCAAGUUCGAUUUCUCUCUCCCUCUCUCUCUUACUCUCUGUGGUUUUUUUAUUGAAUGCGAAAUAAGGGGUUUUUUGGAACGCGAUUGAACUGGUUUUUCUUGAACACGAAAUUAGGGUUGUGGCUGUAUAGAUUUGAUUUUGAUUCUGAUUUGGGGCAAUGAAUGUGGAGAUUUGGGUGUUUUGGGGGCUAGGGUUUGUAAUUGGGAAAAUUGGGUCUAUGGUACACCCGUACCUUCAAGCCCUUCAUGACUCACGAAAAGCUUGAACCUAUCAUGGCCUCUCUUGGCUUCGUACCCCUUCCCUCCUAUAUUGACUCAUCCCUCAACAGAGCUGGAGCCAUCUGGAGGGACUAUGCCUAUUCUGCCUAUUAUUCUGCACGAGGCCUCAGGGGUACUAACAAUAGGUCUAGUCAAUGGUGUAUGUGCACAAACUAGUAAUCCUUCUUUUUGUCGGGCUGCUUUGCUGUCUGAAUCUACCACAGCAGAUAUUAUCGGACUAGGAUACGUCGCGAUUGACGUAGCGACUGCAAACACCAGAGCCGCCACUACUAUUUAAUGCUGAUAAAUUUCUUGCAUAUAUUGCGUUCAUUCACACUACACAAAUAUAUUCUCAAUGAACACAAAAACGUGUGAGACACGUUGCAGCUUUACCUAGUACACAGUAAAUGGGCUCAUGAAUCAAGAAUUUACCAUGCAUGGUCAGGCAGUAAAUGGUUUCAGUAUCAAUCCAUCUAGAAUUGGUCAUUGGAAACUGCAAAAAAAACCAAGGCUUGAUACAUUGAAUAUUGUAAUGUAGAGAGGAUACUUAAUUGCAUGUACUGUAAUUAUCUUUUCCCAUCUUAACCUUCUUUUUCUUUUUUCGGCUGCACAUGCCGAUUAUUGAUCAUUUCCAAGAACUCGUAUGACUCCAGAAGUCACUCUAUUUCAUCAGUAGUACUACAAAAAUGAACAUAAUUCAAUGGAGAGAAGAAGGAAAUAAACUGAUCAGUACAUUGUUAGUUCUUGUUAGUUCUUUUUUUUUUUUUGUAGUAAAGCUUGGCAUGGCUUCCGCUUCUUCAAAUGCCACAUCUGGAUGGCCGAAGUCCAAAUACCCCGGCCGGUACUACUACAGUUGCCCUCGUGACAAGUCCUGCUAGUGGAUGGGUUGUGCGAUGAGAACGGGCACAAUGUUGCACAUUCAGAAGAUGAUCGGUUGCGCCAGUUGAUCGACCGGCUCAUCCAUAGUCAACUUCCACAGCUUAAGCAUGUUAGCCAUGUUCAAUGUAGUCCGUCUUGUAAUCAUUUUUGGGAUUGUUAUUGUCUACUCCAAGCAAUCCAACUUGGUUUAUUUAUGCAUAUGCAAAUUGUGUACUCCACACCUUCGGGUUGCUUGGCUAUUAUCUUUUAGCUUAAGGACCAGAUUUAUGUAAUUGGUGUAUUUAUGCUCUAUCACAUGAGGUGUUAUCUGUAAUUGGUGUAUUCUGCUAUGAUCAAUGUAGAGCUAUGCUUUUAUAAGCUCUUUUUUUGGGUGAGUUUUGGUAUAAAAAAAUAGCCCGUUGCCGUUUGUGCUA
This is a long non-coding RNA of Rhododendron vialii, 1813 nucleotides long. RefSeq lists it as uncharacterized. The transcript is spliced from 2 exons. Lineage: Eukaryota; Viridiplantae; Streptophyta; Magnoliopsida; Ericales; Ericaceae. The record is from RefSeq and is a predicted model, not a curated record.